RNAcentral lists this transfer RNA (92 nucleotides) under Elusimicrobiota bacterium. RNAcentral describes it as "Elusimicrobia bacterium (hot springs metagenome) tRNA-Ser". It matches the Rfam family "tRNA". Rfam says of the family: Transfer RNA (tRNA) molecules are approximately 80 nucleotides in length. Lineage: Bacteria; Pseudomonadati; Elusimicrobiota. The record is from RNAcentral.
GGAGAGGUGCGUGAGCGGUUGAAACGGGCGGUCUUGAAAACCGCUAUGGCCUUUUGAGGUCAUCGGGGGUUCGAAUCCCUCCCUCUCCGCCA